This 465-nucleotide ribosomal RNA is filed under the name uncultured bacterium. RNAcentral's name for it is "partial 16S ribosomal RNA". It matches the Rfam family "Bacterial small subunit ribosomal RNA", at positions 339 to 795 of the family's 1533-position model. The record is from RNAcentral.
CUACGGGCGGCUGCAGUGAGGAAUUUUGCGCAAUGGGGGGAACCCUGACGCAGCAACGCCGCGUGAGUGAUGAAGGCUUUCGGGUCGUAAAGCUCUGUCAAGUGGGAAGAACCUAUGCAGUGUUAAUAUCACUGUAUACUGACGGUACCACUGAAGGAAGCACCGGCUAACUCCGUGCCAGCAGCCGCGGUAAUACGGGGGGUGCAAGCGUUAUUCGGAAUCAUUGGGCGCAAAGGGCACGUAGGCGGCUUGGUAAGUCAGAUGUGAAAGCCCGGGGCUUAACCCCGGAAGUGCAUUUGAUACUGUCAGGCUCGAGUAUGGGAGAGGGAAGUGGAAUUCCUGGUGUAGAGGUGAAAUUCGUAGAUAUCAGGAGGAACACCGGUGGCGAAGGCGACUUCCUGGACCAAUACUGACGCUGAGGUGCGAAGGCGUGGGUAGCAAACAGGAUUAGAUACCCCCGUAGUC